UAGCAAUAUCGUUAGCCCCUAACUAGUA
This 28-nucleotide small RNA is filed under the name Bombyx mori (domestic silkworm). Its description in RNAcentral is "ovarian small RNA-6330". The record is from RNAcentral. Lineage: Eukaryota; Metazoa; Arthropoda; Insecta; Lepidoptera; Bombycidae.